GACGAACGCUGGCGGCGUGCCUAAUACAUGCAAGUCGUGCGGACCUUGUUGAAAGCUUGCUUUUAAAAGGUUAGCGGCGGACGGGUGAGUAACACGUGGGCAACCUGCCUGUAAGACUGGGAUAACGCCGGGAAACCGGGGCUAAUACCAGAUCGUUUUUUCCUCCGCAUGGAGGAAAAAGGAAAGGCGGCUUCGGCUGCCACUUACAGAUGGGCCCGCGGCGCAUUAGCUAGUUGGCGGGGUAAUGGCCCACCAAGGCAACGAUGCGUAGCCGACCUGAGAGGGGGAUCGGCCACAUUGGGACUGAGACACGGCCCAAACUCCUACGGGAGGCAGCAGUAGGGAAUCGUCCGCAAUGGACGAAAGUCUGACGGAGCAACGCCGCGUGAGUGAAGAAGGCCUUCGGGUCGUAAAACUCUGUUGCCGGGGAAGAACAAGUGCCGUUCGAACAGGGCGGCGCCUUGACGGUACCCGGCCAGAAAGCCACGGCUAACUACGUG
RNAcentral lists this ribosomal RNA (500 nucleotides) under uncultured bacterium. Its description in RNAcentral is "partial 16S ribosomal RNA". It matches the Rfam family "Bacterial small subunit ribosomal RNA", at positions 28 to 507 of the family's 1533-position model. The record is from RNAcentral.